ACCAACCACUUUGUAAUCCACAUGCAGCUUCUAGGUUCAGGCUUUGGGAUGAAGGAACAUAGCACAUCGUUGCUGAAUUUGGAGUUAUACUCAUCAACAAGGGAAGGGGAAACAAGCAGUACCAACAGCUGGGACAACUUUGAGAUGUGGGUGCACAAGAGGGUGAUCGACCUUGUCAGCUCCUUGGACGUUCUCAAGCAGAUCACCAUUGAGAGGUUGAGAUGACCAUUAACAACAAGUAACUGUUGUGAACGUAGCCAAGGACAUGCAGCUGUUGGUGAUGGGCUCUGUUAGGAUGCCCACGUAGGUGCUCAACAUCACCACCGGGAAGUCCCCCUGUGGCGCAAGGUGAGCUGGAAGUGGUGGUGCACCGCCUUGCUUAUGGCGCCAAUGAGAUGGCGGGGUUGUUGCCCCGUGACGUCGGCAUCGGC
Molecule: long non-coding RNA, 431 nt
Organism: Triticum dicoccoides
Lineage: Eukaryota; Viridiplantae; Streptophyta; Magnoliopsida; Poales; Poaceae
Exons: 3
Source: RefSeq, a predicted model, not a curated record